CAUUUGCAUUUUUCAUUAGUACGGCGAGUGACAGGAAAAGCUCAAAGUUGGAACCUGUUUGGCCUAGCUAAACCGGAUUGUAAACUGUAGAAGUGUUUUCCAGGCAAGCCGGACCGAUAAGUCCUUUGGAACAGGGCAUCAUAGAGGGUGAGAAUCCCGUCUUCGGUCUGAGCAUUUGCCUUUUGCGAUACACUUUCAAAGAGUCAGGUUGUUUGGGAAUGCAGCCUAAAUUGGGUGGUAAAUCUCACCUAAAGCUAAAUAUUGGCGAGAAACCGAUAGCGAACAAGUACCGUGAGGGAAAGAUGAAAAGAACUUUGAAAAGAGAGUUAAACAGUAUGUGAAAUUGUUAAAAGGGAACCGUUUGGAGCCAGACUGGCUUGUCUGUAAUCAGUCUAAGCUUCGGCUUGGAUGCACUUGCAGGCUAUGCCUGCCAACGACAAUUUGGCUUGAGGGAAAAAACUAAGGGAAAUGUGGCCCAUCCGUGGGUGUUAUAGUCCCUUAGAAAAUACCUUGGGCUGGAUUGAGGUACGCAGCGAAUGCUAUUUGGCGAGUUGGCUGGGAAUAUUUUCUGAGGUGCUUUGGUACUGAGGUUGAUAUUCCUAGUUACACUUCUAUUCGCUUAGGUUGUUGGCUUAAUGACUCUAAAUGACCCGUCUUGAACACCGGGACAA
This 671-nucleotide ribosomal RNA is filed under the name Rhizopus microsporus. RNAcentral's name for it is "eukaryotic LSU rRNA". It matches the Rfam family "Eukaryotic large subunit ribosomal RNA", at positions 67 to 669 of the family's 3401-position model. The record is from RNAcentral. Lineage: Eukaryota; Fungi; Mucoromycota; Mucoromycetes; Mucorales; Rhizopodaceae.